AACGAACGCUGGCGGCAUGCCUAACACAUGCAAGUCGAACGAAACCAUCGGGUCUAGUGGCGCACGGGUGCGUAACGCGUGGGAACCUUCCCUUAUGUUUGGCAUAACUCCCCGAAAGGGGUGCUAAUACCGGAUAAUGUCUUCGAACCAAAGAUUUAUUGCGCUUGGAUGGGCCCUCGUUGGAUUAGCUUGUUGGUAGGGUAAAAGCCUACCAAGGCGACGAUUCAUAACUGGUUUGAGAGGAUGAUCAGCGACACUGGGAGUGGGACACGGCCCGGACUCCUACGGGAGGCGGCAAUGGGUAAUAUUGGAAAAUGGGGGAAAGCCUGAUGCAGCAAUGCCGCGUGAGUGAUGAAGGCAGUAGGGUUGUAAAGCUCUUUUACCCGGGAUGAUAAUGACAGUACCGGGAGAAUAAGCCCCGGCUAACUCCGUG
This 433-nucleotide ribosomal RNA is filed under the name uncultured bacterium. RNAcentral's name for it is "partial 16S ribosomal RNA". It matches the Rfam family "Bacterial small subunit ribosomal RNA", at positions 29 to 507 of the family's 1533-position model. The record is from RNAcentral.